GAUGAACGCUGGCGGCGUGCCUAACACAUGCAAGUCGAACGGAAAGACCCUGAUCUUGUGCGGUGCUCGAGUGGCGAACGCGUGAGUAACACGCGUGUAACCUGCCCUUGUCUUUCGGAUAACUUCACGAAACUCGAGCUAAUAUCCGAUAGGAGCUCCUGCUGCGUGGGGGGGGUUGGAAAGUGUCGGCGGUUGGGGAUGGACUCGCGGCUUAUCAGCUUGUUGGUGGGGUAGUGGCUUACCAAGGCUACGACGGAUAGGCGACAUGGGAGGGUUGCCGGCGACAUGAGUACUACGAGACGGCCCAGUCGCGUACGGGAGGCAGCAGUCGGAAGUAUGACACAGUGGGCGGGAGCCUGAGGCGGCGGCGCCGCGUGCGGAAUGACGGCUUUCGGGUUGUGAACCGCUGUCGCCUGUGACGAAGCGGGAGUGACGGUAAUGAAUAAAGAAGCACCGGCUAACUACGUG
This 468-nucleotide ribosomal RNA is filed under the name uncultured bacterium. RNAcentral's name for it is "partial 16S ribosomal RNA". It matches the Rfam family "Bacterial small subunit ribosomal RNA", at positions 28 to 507 of the family's 1533-position model. The record is from RNAcentral.